GUGGGGAAUAUUGGACAAUGGGCGAAAGCCUGAUCCAGCCAUGCCGCGUGUGUGAAGAAGGUCUUCGGAUUGUAAAGCACUUUAAGUUGGGAGGAAGGGUAGUAACCUAAUACGUUGCUACUUUGACGUUACCGACAGAAUAAGCACCGGCUAACUUCGUGCCAGCAGCCGCGGUAAUACGAAGGGUGCAAGCGUUAAUCGGAAUUACUGGGCGUAAAGCGCGCGUAGGUGGUUCAGUAAGUUGGAAGUGAAAUCCCCGGGCUCAACCUGGGAACUGCUUUCAAAACUGCUGAGCUAGAGUACGGUAGAGGGUGGUGGAAUUUCCUGUGUAGCGGUGAAAUGCGUAGAGAUCGGGAGGAACAUCCGUGGCGAAGGCGGCCAUCUGGACCAGCACUGACACUGAGGCACGAAAGCGUGGGGAGCAAACAGGAUUAGAAACCCUGGUAGUCC
RNAcentral lists this ribosomal RNA (450 nucleotides) under uncultured bacterium. RNAcentral describes it as "partial 16S ribosomal RNA". It matches the Rfam family "Bacterial small subunit ribosomal RNA", at positions 354 to 796 of the family's 1533-position model. The record is from RNAcentral.